Molecule: ribosomal RNA, 253 nt
Filed under: uncultured bacterium
Lineage: Bacteria
Description: partial 16S ribosomal RNA
Rfam family: Bacterial small subunit ribosomal RNA
Source: RNAcentral
UACGUAGGGUGCGAGCGUUAAUCGGAAUGACUGGGCGUAAAGCGUGCGCAGGCGGCUUUGCAAGACAGAUGUGAAAUCCCCGGGCUCAACCUGGGAACUGCAUUUGUGACUGCAAGGCUAGAGUACGGCAGAGGGGGAUGGAAUUCCGCGUGUAGCAGUGAAAUGCGUAGAUAUGCGGAGGAACACCAAUGGCGAAGGCAAUCCCCUGGGCCUGUACUGACGCUCAUGCACGAAAGCGUGGGGAGCAAACAGG